Molecule: ribosomal RNA, 492 nt
Filed under: uncultured bacterium
Lineage: Bacteria
Description: partial 16S ribosomal RNA
Rfam family: Bacterial small subunit ribosomal RNA
Source: RNAcentral
AGUGAACGCUGGCGGUAGGCCUAACACAUGCAAGUCGAACGGCAGCACAGUAAGAGCGUGCCCUUACGGGUGGCGGGGGGCGGGCGGGUGAGGAAUACAUCGGAAUCUACUUUGUCGGGGGGGAUAACGGAGGGAAGGAGACACUAAUAGCGGAUAUGAUCAACCGGUGAAAGCAGGAGAUAAUGGGAGCUUGGGCGUCACAAAGAGACGGUGUCGGAUUAGCUAGUUGGGGAGGUAAAGGCCCACCAAGGCAACGAUCCGUAGCAGGUCUGAGAGGAUGAUCAGCCACACUGGAACUGAGACACGGUCCAGACUCCUACGGGAGGCAGCAGUGGGGAAUCUUGGGCAAUGGGCGCAAGCCUGAUCCAGCCAUACCGCGUGGGUGAAGAAGGCCUUCGGGUUGUAAAGCCCUUUUGUUGGGAAAGAAAAGCAGCAGGUUAAUCCCUCGAUGUUCUGACGGUACCCAAAGAGUAAGCACCGGCUAACUUCGUG